UUUCAUCGAACUUAAGGGAAAAAGUUGUGAUGAAAAUAAUGAAGCUAGGACUAGUGAAGCUUAAUUCGAGUAAAGUGACGGAGUUGGUCGAGUCAUCGACAAGGCUUUCACCCAUAGAAGAGGUGAGUUUGGCAUCAGAUUUAGAAGAAGAAGUCGCGAUGCAAUCCUUGAAGCUAGGAUCAAUGAGGCUCAUUUCUGUUGACACAUCAGAGGGACUACCACCUAUGAGAAAGG
This 234-nucleotide long non-coding RNA is filed under the name Gossypium barbadense (sea-island cotton). RNAcentral's name for it is "long non-coding RNA (GBAR_LNC008768)". The record is from RNAcentral. Lineage: Eukaryota; Viridiplantae; Streptophyta; Magnoliopsida; Malvales; Malvaceae.